This 2167-nucleotide long non-coding RNA is filed under the name Homo sapiens (human). RNAcentral describes it as "non-protein coding OTUD6B-AS1:4". The record is from RNAcentral. Lineage: Eukaryota; Metazoa; Chordata; Mammalia; Primates; Hominidae.
GUGACCCUGCCGUGAUGGGCGGGGCGGCAGGGGAGGAACCAGACUGCGAGCGGAGAAGCGGAGUUUGCAGCCUCGGAAUUGGCUAGAGCGCCAGAGCCGAGUCAGCCAUAAAGCUACGCGCUAGGCUCUUGGCCCUGACGUGAGGCGCGCAGAGAUGGCGUAACGGGAAUAGUUUUCAACGUCUAUUUCAUUCCCUGCUUCAGAGGACCUCUUUAAUCUUUGAUUUUGGUCCCUGUUUCUAAGAAAAGCAACUGAAAAGGUCGUAAUACCGCCCCUGAGAAAAAAGGAGCAGCGCUAAAUAAUCGAGAAAAUGCCUCCUCUUGAAACGGAUAUAGAGAUGGAAACAAGAUAUAAGAAGGAUUGAGAAUCAUAUAAUACAGGAGCUUAAACACCUAUGCGCGAUGAUAAAGAGGGUACUAUUAGAGCGCUUGGAAAAUACCAGGAAGUUGAGAGAGUUAACAGAAGGGCGCACGCUGGAUUGGCCACAAAAUCGAAUUACUGAAGUAAGUGCAAAACGACAAAUUGUCACAGAAUACAGAGAAAAGGGGAAAAGAAAUUAAGAGGAGAAAAAGAGAGAUCUAGAGGGCCGGUCCAGGAGAUACAAUCUAUGCAUAAUAGGAAUACCUGAAACUGAGGACAGAGCAAGUGGAGCUGAAACAAUAAAGGAUCUACUUGAAAAAAUUUUCCAGAAUUGAAGAACGAACUAGAUCUACAAAUGGAAAAGGCUCAUAGGAUACCUUUAAAGUUUAAUGAAAAGAAAGCAGCAUCUAGACAUAUCCGGGUGACGUUUUUGAAUUUCAAAGACGAAACAUUUUACAAGCAUCCAGUCAGAGAAAGCAGGUUACUUACAAAGGGGCAAAAGUCAGGCUGACCUCAGAUUUUUCUCCUGCAAUUCUAAAUGCCAGAAGACAGUGGAACAAUAUCUAGAGUGUUAAGGGAAAAUAAUUUUGAGCCAAGAAUUAUAUACUCUGCCAAGUUAUCAUUUCUUUACAAAGGAAACUGGAAGACAUUCUUAGAUAUACAGGGGUUAGGAAAGUAUAUCAACCAAGAACUUUCCCUGAAAAUUUUGCUGAAGGAUUUACUGCAGCUAACAGAGAACCUGAAUUAAAAUAAGAAUAGGGAGGCAAUUGUAUGAAAGAACUGAUGGUAUGCAUUAAAACUAGUUAAGGAGCAUUAAGUUUAAAUUGUUAUGUAUAGGGCAUUAAAACUAAAUACAAAAAUAGAAACAUAAGCUGGGUGUAAAAUUUCAGUUUACGUUUAAACUGGAAGGGCAUACCACAUGUUCAAUAUAUUGGACAAAUACUGUUUUAUUUUUAGCAUGUAGUAUUGUAGAUACAAAUACGCAUGUUCUUAAGCUAAACCUAAGUAAAAGGGCUUUGUCACUGUAGAUUUGACAAAUAACAUUCUAAAUGUCAAAUCUGACAAUUGGAAAACAGUACAGUUUUAUUUCCCUUAUUUUUAAGUAUAGCAGGAAAAAAAUAACAAGUUUGUCCAUGUUACUACUGAUACUGUAAAGAAACUUCCAAAUCACUGGUUUGGGAGGGGGUGGAUACAUCCUCAUUUUCUGUACAUGAUGCAUGGGGAAAAACAGUAGUUACUGCAUCAUAUAGUUCCAAGUAAAUCAUAUAGUUCCAAGUAAAUUUGACAUGGAAAUAAGUGUUAACUACAAAAAUAGAAUAUAUACAUUCCAAUGUUUGGAAAAGAAGUGGUAAAAAGAAAAAUAGCAAAAAGACACUAAAAUUAGCAAAAAGUAGAUUGACAGUACAGAUGACCUAUAAACUGGUUAAAUAGCCCUAUUACAAUUGAAAUUGGGUCAAAAAUCAAUCUCUAACCUGAGAUACAUUUGUAUAAAACAAAUGAUCAAAGAGUUUAAAGAUAAUGGAAACUAUAAAUCAUAGAAAUGGCAACAUUUUUCUUAAAAUCUAAACAUAAGACAUUUUAUGUAAAACAUACAAUAUAGGAUGUAACAUUUAACAAACUAUAUGGUAAAUAAUAUGACAUUAAUAUAUAAAAUAUAUGUUCCAGAUCUUGAUGUGGGUGAUAGUUUUACUUAUGUACAUCGAUAUACAUCUAUUUAAAAACAUGUACAUUUAAAUUGUUGCAUUUUAUGUAUUUAAAAUUUAUUGAGUAAUCCUUCUGUAUGUAUUAUUAAAGAGAAUAUAGCAAA